Molecule: unclassified non-coding RNA, 346 nt
Filed under: soil metagenome
Description: partial contains 5.8S ribosomal RNA, internal transcribed spacer 2, and large subunit ribosomal RNA
Rfam family: 5.8S ribosomal RNA (bases 1-120)
Source: RNAcentral
GAUGAAGAACGCAGCAAAAUGCGAUAAGUAAUGUGAAUUGCAGAAUUCAGUGAAUCAUCGGAUCUUUGAACGCACAUUGCGCCCGCCAGUAUUCUGGCGGGCAUGCCUGUUCGAGCGUCAUUUCAACCCUCAAGCCCUCGGGUUUGGUGUUGGGGAUCGGCGAGCCUUUCUGGCAAGCCGGCCCCGAAAUCUAGUGGCGGUCUCGCUGCAGCCUCCAUUGCGUAGUAGUAAAACCCUCGCAACUGGAACGCGGCGCGGCCAAGCCGUUAAACCCCCAACUUCUGAAUGUUGACCUCGGAUCAGGUAGGAAUACCCGCUGAACUUAAGCAUAUCAAUAAGCGGAGGA